This 84-nucleotide transfer RNA is filed under the name Ignavibacteria bacterium. Its description in RNAcentral is "tRNA-Tyr". It matches the Rfam family "tRNA". Rfam says of the family: Transfer RNA (tRNA) molecules are approximately 80 nucleotides in length. Their secondary structure includes four short double-helical elements and three loops (D, anti-codon, and T loops). Further hydrogen bonds mediate the characteristic L-shaped molecular structure. tRNAs have two regions of fundamental functional importance: the anti-codon, which is responsible for specific mRNA codon recognition, and the 3' end, to which the tRNAs corresponding amino acid is attached (by aminoacyl-tRNA synthetases). tRNAs cope with the degeneracy of the genetic code in two manners: having more than one tRNA (with a specific anti-codon) for a particular amino acid; and 'wobble' base-pairing, i.e. permitting non-standard base-pairing at the 3rd anti-codon position. The record is from RNAcentral. Lineage: Bacteria; Pseudomonadati; Ignavibacteriota; Ignavibacteria.
GGGGAGGCGCCGAAGUAGGAGAGCCGGGGCAGACUGUAAAUCUGUUGGCGUACGCCUUAGAGGGUUCGAUUCCCCCCCUCCCCA